Transfer RNA from Operophtera brumata (winter moth), 56 nucleotides. It matches the Rfam family "tRNA", at positions 10 to 63 of the family's 71-position model. Rfam says of the family: Transfer RNA (tRNA) molecules are approximately 80 nucleotides in length. Lineage: Eukaryota; Metazoa; Arthropoda; Insecta; Lepidoptera; Geometridae. The record is from Rfam.
GCCAAAUUGGUAAAGGCGUCGCCGAUCACAGGCGAAGAUGCGGGUUCGAGUCCCGC